UCUCCGUUAGCUCAGCUGGUGGUAGCACCUGACUGUUAAUCAGGGGGUCGUAGGUUCAAGUCCUACACGGAGAG
Molecule: transfer RNA, 74 nt
Filed under: Myoviridae sp. ctNQV2
Lineage: Duplodnaviria; Heunggongvirae; Uroviricota; Caudoviricetes
Description: tRNA-Asn
Rfam family: tRNA
About the family: Transfer RNA (tRNA) molecules are approximately 80 nucleotides in length.
Source: RNAcentral